RNAcentral lists this ribosomal RNA (440 nucleotides) under uncultured bacterium. RNAcentral's name for it is "bacterial SSU rRNA". It matches the Rfam family "Bacterial small subunit ribosomal RNA", at positions 338 to 773 of the family's 1533-position model. The record is from RNAcentral.
CCUACGGGUGGCUGCAGUCGAGAAUCUUCGGCAAUGGGCGCAAGCCUGACCGAGCGACGCCACGUGCGGGAUGACGGCCCUCGGGUUGUAAACCGCUGUCGAGGGGGAUGAAGUCACGGGAGGCAAUCCUCUCGUGUUGACAGAGCCCUGGAGGAAGCGCGGGCUAAGUACGUGCCAGCAGCCGCGGUAAGACGUACUGCGCGAACGUUAUUCGGAAUCACUGGGCUUAAAGGGUGCGCAGGCGGCUUGUCAAGCCCGUGGUGAAAGGUCCCGGCCCAACCGGGGACGUGCCACGGGGACUGACGAGCUUGGGCGAGCUAGGGGUCUGUGGAACUCCCGGUGGAGCGGUGAAAUGUGUUGAGAUCGGGAGGAACGCCGGUGGCGAAAGCGACAGACUGGGGCUUGGCCGACGCUCAGGCACGAAAGCCAGGGGAGCGAAC